RNAcentral lists this ribosomal RNA (476 nucleotides) under Fusarium oxysporum. RNAcentral describes it as "eukaryotic LSU rRNA". The stretch from base 131 to 284 matches the Rfam family "5.8S ribosomal RNA". The record is from RNAcentral. Lineage: Eukaryota; Fungi; Ascomycota; Sordariomycetes; Hypocreales; Nectriaceae.
ACCCCUGUGAACAUACCACUUGUUGCCUCGGCGGAUCAGCCCGCUCCCGGUAAAACGGGACGGCCCGCCAGAGGACCCCUAAAACUCUGUUUCUAUAUGUAACUUCUGAGUAAAACCAUAAAUAAAUCAAAACUUUCAACAACGGAUCUCUUGGUUCUGGCAUCGAUGAAGAACGCAGCAAAAUGCGAUAAGUAAUGUGAAUUGCAGAAUUCAGUGAAUCAUCGAAUCUUUGAACGCACAUUGCGCCCGCCAGUAUUCUGGCGGGCAUGCCUGUUCGAGCGUCAUUUCAACCCUCAAGCACAGCUUGGUGUUGGGACUCGCGUUAAUUCGCGUUCCUCAAAUUGAUUGGCGGUCACGUCGAGCUUCCAUAGCGUAGUAGUAAAACCCUCGUUACUGGUAAUCGUCGCGGCCACGCCGUUAAACCCCAACUUCUGAAUGUUGACCUCGGAUCAGGUAGGAAUACCCGCUGAACUUAA